Molecule: ribosomal RNA, 484 nt
Filed under: uncultured bacterium
Lineage: Bacteria
Description: partial 16S ribosomal RNA
Rfam family: Bacterial small subunit ribosomal RNA
Source: RNAcentral
AUUGAACGCUGGCGGCAGGCCUAACACAUGCAAGUCGAGCGGAUGAAGGGAGCUUGCUCCUGGAUUCAGCGGCGGACGGGUGAGUAAUGCCUAGGAAUCUGCCUGGUAGUGGGGGAUAACGUCCGGAAACGGGCGCUAAUACCGCAUACGUCCUGAGGGAGAAAGUGGGGGAUCUUCGGACCUCACGCUAUCAGAUGAGCCUAGGUCGGAUUAGCUAGUUGGUGGGGUAAAGGCCUACCAAGGCGACGAUCCGUAACUGGUCUGAGAGGAUGAUCAGUCACACUGGAACUGAGACACGGUCCAGACUCCUACGGGAGGCAGCAGUGGGGAAUAUUGGACAAUGGGCGAAAGCCUGAUCCAGCCAUGCCGCGUGUGUGAAGAAGGUCUUCGGAUUGUAAAGCACUUUAAGUUGGGAGGUAGGGCAGUGAGUUAAUACCUUGCUGUUUUGACGUUACCAACAGAAUAAGCACCGGCUAACUUCGUG